GAGGGUGUAGCUGAGUGGUAGAGUGCAUGCUUAGCAUGCACAAGGUCCUGGGUUCAAUCCUCAGUACCUCCA
RNAcentral lists this transfer RNA (72 nucleotides) under Camelus dromedarius (Arabian camel). It matches the Rfam family "tRNA". From Rfam's summary of the family: Transfer RNA (tRNA) molecules are approximately 80 nucleotides in length. RNAcentral also lists the same sequence under 2 other names. Lineage: Eukaryota; Metazoa; Chordata; Mammalia; Artiodactyla; Camelidae. The record is from Rfam by way of RNAcentral.